Molecule: microRNA, 22 nt
Filed under: Cavia porcellus (domestic guinea pig)
Lineage: Eukaryota; Metazoa; Chordata; Mammalia; Rodentia; Caviidae
Description: cpo-miR-511-3p
Gene: cpo-miR-511-3p
Source: miRBase by way of RNAcentral
AAUGUGUAGCAGAAGACAGACU